ACAGCAGCAGCCGCGGUAAUACGAAGGGGGCUAGCGUUGUUCGGAAUUACUGGGCGUAAAGCGCACGUAGGCGGAUAUUUAAGUCAGGGGUGAAAUCCCAGAGCUCAACUCUGGAACUGCCUUUGAUACUGGGUAUCUUGAGUAUGGAAGAGGUGAGUGGAAUUCCGAGUGUAGAGGUGAAAUUCGUAGAUAUUCGGAGGAACACCAGUGGCGAAGGCGGCUCACUGGUCCAUUACUGACGCUGAGGUGCGAAAGCGUGGGGAGCAAACAGGAUUAGAUACCCGCGUAGUCCCUGUCUCUUAUAC
This 305-nucleotide ribosomal RNA is filed under the name uncultured bacterium. RNAcentral describes it as "partial 16S ribosomal RNA". It matches the Rfam family "Bacterial small subunit ribosomal RNA", at positions 505 to 807 of the family's 1533-position model. The record is from RNAcentral.